UUUCUUCUAUUCUUCUCUCUAUACGUUGGUGUUCUAACCAAUAAUCACCAAAGCGAUGUUCUGUCCGAUCGAUUCAGGAACCAUCUAACGGAUGCCAAAGUGUUGUACUUUGUGAAUUUCGUUAAACGGAAUCCAAAGUACUAUACUUUGUGAGUUCAUUAAAUGGAUACCAAAGUACUGUCUGAAUAAGACUAUACUUUGUGAAAUUUGUUAAGGUUCGAAUCUCGUGAUCAUCGUUAGGUUUGAUAUGAUAGUGAUCCUCAGCAGAGUUCCAGGAUCAGGAUCACGGACCAUCAUAGGAUCCUCAUGCUAACAAUUGCUUUCAUUAACUUUAAUGUUGUUUUGCAGGAAUGACUAGCAGGAUCCGCUCUUAGCAUCACAAUCAAGGGACGCGUCUUUACAACUUUGGCAUAUGCUUAAUCGGAGAUGAACGUUGUGAAGGAUAUGGAAACUUGGCAUGAUUUAAGGGCCAUAAUUUAGGCUAGAUUUACUUUUAUUUCUAAAGGGGUAAUGAGCUGAUUAUUAGUUUGUUUACCUAAAAUAGGCCACUCACACUUGUAUAUAUAACACUCUUCCCCAUUCGGAAGACACACAACACAAUUCUCACACGCUUAGACACACAUUACGAUAGUGAUCCUUGUACUCAGCUCAUUAUCAUCCGAAGUUGUAACCAUAUUUUGAUAUAUUGAAGUUGGUGAUCG
This 701-nucleotide long non-coding RNA is filed under the name Helianthus annuus (common sunflower). RNAcentral's name for it is "hypothetical non coding rna". The record is from RNAcentral. Lineage: Eukaryota; Viridiplantae; Streptophyta; Magnoliopsida; Asterales; Asteraceae.